UUAGGGAGGUUGGAGUGGAAACAA
Molecule: unclassified non-coding RNA, 24 nt
Filed under: Mus musculus (house mouse)
Lineage: Eukaryota; Metazoa; Chordata; Mammalia; Rodentia; Muridae
Description: oocyte_clustered_small_RNA41
Source: RNAcentral